CAGACUCCAAGUUCUUCAGUUUUGAGACUUGAACUGACUUUCCUGCUCCUUAAGCUUGCAGACAGCCUAUUGCAGGACAUUGUGAUUGUGUAAGUUAAUACUUAAUAAACUCCUGGCCAGGUGUGGUGGUUCACACCUGUAAUCCCAGCUCUCAGAGACGCAGAGGCGGGAGGAUAGCUUGAGCCCAGGAGUUGGAGACCUGCCUGGGCAAUAUAACAAGACCCUGUUUUCCACAAAAAGUAAGAAAAAAAAAGACAAAAAAAGUAAGUGUAAUACUUAAUAAACUACUUUGUAUAUCUAUCCUAUUAAUUCUGUCUGUCUAGAGAACCCUGACUAAUACAGAGUCACAUAAAAAUAUGAGCCUCAGGCCGGGCACAGUGGGUCACACCUGUAAUCCCAGCACUUCGGGAGGCCAAAGCGGGUGGAUCCUGAUCUCACGUGAUCUGCCUGCCUUGGGCCUCCCAAAGUACUGGGAUUACAGGUGUGAGCCAUGGUGCCUGGCCCAUACUCAGAUUUUUUAAAGGCUCAAAGUAAUUUGGAAUUCCAACAACUUACAUUUUAAAUUACUUAUUUUCACAGAAAGAAUCUUUGUCAGUUGUCACUCACUUAUUUCUCCAAAGACUAUAGUCCUGUCCAGUGAUCCUCUCCAAGACAAUAGCUCUCUCUAGUAACUAUAGUUUUCCUUUCCCAUUUCAAUUUCCACUCCAAUUGACUGAAUUGUGAACACCAACUCCCACACUUAAAUGUUGAAGCCCUAACCCCCAGUGUGAUGGUUUAUGCAGCUGGGGCCUCUGAGAGGUAAUCAGGUUUAAAAGAGGUUAUGAGAGUGGGGUCCUUAUGCUGAGAUUAAUGCCAUUAUAAGAAGAGACACUAGAAAGCUUGCUCAUCCGCCUUCCCCAUGGUGCACAAAGAAAUGGUCACAUGGGCACACAGUGAAACUACAGCCACUUACAGGCUGUAGGAAGAGAUCUUAGAAAGAAAUCCGCUUUGCUAGCACCUUUAUCUUGGACUUCCCAACUUCUAGAAGUGUGAGAAACACAUUUCUAUAGUUUAGGCCACUUGGUAUAUGGUAUUUUGUUAUGGCAACCUGAACAGACUUAUACAACAAUUCAGUCCUAGAGGCAAUACAACUUCUCUGAUGAUUCCAGAUUCUGAGUGCCUCUCAGUCCUUUCUUGCGUUAUUUUGAUCCUGUCCAUAUAUUUAUAAAUAUUCUCUUCAUAAAACUCUCUGUAGGCCGGGUGCAGUGGCGCAUGCCUGCAAUCCCAGCACUUUGGGAGGCCGAGGCAGGCAGAUCAUGAGGUCAAGAGAUCGAGACCAUCCUGGCC
This 1326-nucleotide long non-coding RNA is filed under the name Homo sapiens (human). RNAcentral describes it as "LNC_000347". Lineage: Eukaryota; Metazoa; Chordata; Mammalia; Primates; Hominidae. The record is from RNAcentral.